Molecule: transfer RNA, 75 nt
Filed under: Marmota monax (woodchuck)
Lineage: Eukaryota; Metazoa; Chordata; Mammalia; Rodentia; Sciuridae
Description: tRNA.Thr
Source: RNAcentral
GCAUGUAGCUCAAUGGUAGAGCACUUGCCUAGUUCUAGCAUGCUUAAGGUCUUGGGUUCAAUCCUCAGCACUGCA